Molecule: ribosomal RNA, 492 nt
Filed under: uncultured bacterium
Lineage: Bacteria
Description: partial 16S ribosomal RNA
Rfam family: Bacterial small subunit ribosomal RNA
Source: RNAcentral
AGUGAACGCUGGCGGUAGGCCUAACACAUGCAAGUCGAACGGCAGCACAGUAAGAGCUUGCUCUUACGGGUGGCGAGUGGCGGACGGGUGAGGAAUACAUCGGAAUCUACUUUUUCGUGGGGGAUAACGUAGGGAAACUUACGCUAAUACCGCAUACGACCUACGGGUGAAAGCAGGGGAUCUUCGGACCUUGCGCGAUUGAAUGAGCCGAUGUCGGAUUAGCUAGUUGGCGGGGUAAAGGCCCACCAAGUCGACGAUCCGUAGCUGGACUGAGAGGCUGAUCAGCGACACUGGAACUGAGACACGGUCCAGACUCCUACGGGAGGCAGCAGUGGGGAAUAUUAGACAAUGGGCGCAAGCCUGAUCCAGCCAUACCGCGUGGGUGAAGGAGGCCUUCCGGUUGUAAAGCCCUUUUGUUGGGAAAGAAAAGCAGCAGGUUAAUACCCCGCUGUUCUGACGGUACCCAAAGAAUAAGCACCGGCUAACUUCGUG